RNAcentral lists this ribosomal RNA (253 nucleotides) under uncultured bacterium. RNAcentral describes it as "partial 16S ribosomal RNA". It matches the Rfam family "Bacterial small subunit ribosomal RNA", at positions 524 to 776 of the family's 1533-position model. The record is from RNAcentral.
UACGUAGGGGGCGAGCGUUGUUCGGAUUUACUGGGCGUAAAGAGCGCGUAGGCGGUACGAUAAGUCAGAGGUGAAAUCCCUCGGCUCAACCGAGGACCCGCGUCUGAUACUGUCGAACUUGAGUGCAGGAGAGGAGAGCGGAAUUCCCAGUGUAGCGGUGAAAUGCGUAGAUAUUGGGAGGAACACCGGUGGCGAAGGCGGCUCUCUGGACUGUCACUGACGCUGAGGCGCGAAAGCUAGGGGAGCAAACGGG